This 443-nucleotide ribosomal RNA is filed under the name uncultured bacterium. RNAcentral describes it as "partial 16S ribosomal RNA". It matches the Rfam family "Bacterial small subunit ribosomal RNA", at positions 338 to 795 of the family's 1533-position model. The record is from RNAcentral.
CCUACGGGUGGCAGCAGUGGGGAAUAUUGGGCAAUGGGCGCAAGCCUGACCCAGCAACGCCGCGUGAAGGAAGAAGGCUUUCGGGUUGUAAACUUCUUUUCUCAGGGACGAAGCAAGUGACGGUACCUGAGGAAUAAGCCACGGCUAACUACGUGCCAGCGGCCGCGGUAAUACGUAGGUGGCAAGCGUUAUCCGGAUUUCCUGGGUGUAAAGGGCGGGUAGGCGGGGACGCAAGUCAGAUGUGAAAACCACGGGCUCAAACUUUUGCCUGCAUUUGAAACUGUGUUUCUUGAGUACUGGAGAGGCAGACGGAAUGCCUAGGGUAGCGGUGAAAGGCGUAGAUAUUAGGAGGAACACCAGUGGCGAAGGCGGUCUGCUGGACAGCAACUGACGCUGAGGCGCGAAAGCGUGGGGAGCAAACAGGAUUAGAUACCCGGGUAGUC